RNAcentral lists this non-coding RNA (21 nucleotides) under Caenorhabditis elegans. The record is from RNAcentral. Lineage: Eukaryota; Metazoa; Nematoda; Chromadorea; Rhabditida; Rhabditidae.
UCCCUGUUCAAAAUUCUUAUC